This 1891-nucleotide long non-coding RNA is filed under the name Fragaria vesca (wild strawberry). RNAcentral describes it as "long non-coding RNA (FVES_LNC000480)". The record is from RNAcentral. Lineage: Eukaryota; Viridiplantae; Streptophyta; Magnoliopsida; Rosales; Rosaceae.
UCCAUUCUCUUCUGCCGAAGCAGGUAAGCCAAGUGCCAAGUUUUCUCUCUUUAAUCUGCAGGUAUGAUUCUUAAUUAUAUCGGUCAUCCUCUUAAAGGGUCUUGUACGUGUCAUAUGACCUAGUUCUCAAAUCUCAAUUGAUUAAUAAUGUCUUGAUCAAAUUUAGUUCCAAUAUCCCAUCAUCUCAAAUCUCAAUUGAUUAAUGCCUUGAUAGUCUCAAUAUCUCAUCAUCCCAUCACACUGUAUUUCUAUUGAUAUUCUAAUUCUAAUCUCAAUAUAUUACUUGCUUACUAAUUCUAAGCCAAGUGUCAAGUUUUCUCUCUUUAAUCUGUAGGUAUGAUUCUUAGUUAUAUCGGUCAUCCUCUUGAAGUCUUGUACGUGUCAUAUGACCUUGUUCUCAAAUCUCAAUUGAUUAAUGCUUUGAUCAAAUUUAGUCGCAAUAUCUCAUCAUCUCAAAUUUCAAUUGAUUAAUGUCUUGAUAGUCUCAAUAUCUCAUCAUCCCAUCGCACUGUAUUUCUAUUAAUAUUCUAAUUCUAUUAUCAAUUGCUUACUUACUAAUUCUAAACCAAGUGUCAAACUUUAUCUAUUUAAUCUGCAUGUAUGAUUAUUAGUUAUAUUGGUCAUUCUCUUGGAGUCUUGUACGUGUCAUAUGACCUAGUUCUCAAAUCUCAAUUGAUUAAUGUUUUGAUCCAAUUUAGUCCCAAUAUCUCAUCAUCUCAAAUCUCAUGUGUAUCAGCAAGAGGGGCUAAUCCGAACGUGGUUUGUCUCCAUUCAAUUGAGAGGGAAGCCCCCGGGACGCUACGGUGCCUUAGCUGGUUCCCGAUCCUCCUUCAAAAGUGGGAAAGAGAGGCGGAAGGCGCCCCUUCCAAACAAUGAAAAAAAUCCGAGGAACUUCGAAGCUUAUAGGGCCUCCUCUUGUAAGCUAGCUCCAUUCGAUCGAUCGCUUCCGUUCAUAAUAGAUUGGUUGUGAAUUAAUUGAUUAAUGCCUUGAUAGUCUCAAUAUCCCAUCAUCCUAUCACACUGUAUUUCUAUUGAUAUUCUAAUUAUAAUCUCAAUUGCUUGCUUAUUUUAUUGUAGAUAACUAAUGCUUUUGAUGUGUAUAUAUAUAGAUAUAUAGUUGUAAUAGUACCAACAUUUGAUUCAUAGUUAUUAGAUUGUGUUUUUCCGUCCUGUUAGGUUUAAGGAUUAUACACUCGUUUACUGUAUUGUUAGAGCGGUGAUUGUGUGCUUAGUUAUUAGAUUUUGCUUCUAUUCAAGAGCGUAUGGUUCAAUUUGAGUAUGUUUGUUCUUUUAUCUUUAGCUUUUGUUAUCGAAUUUCUAUAAAAUGUUAAAAUAUUAAUUUCUUAAUGAUCAGUUAACUACGUGAUUAUUUGAUAUGUUUUUAAUCUAAAAUGUGAUAUGUAAAAUAUAGAAGAAAAAAAAAUAAAACAAUUUUAAGAAAAAAAUUUCAGUCCACCCCAACCUAAAAUCCUAGGUCCAACAUUGUGUGUGUGUGUAUAUAUUUAUAUAUACAGUCCGUUUCAGAUACGAACGUCCACACCGUAAACGGUGCGGACGUCCGCACCUGAUAACUGUUGUGUAUAUAUAUAUAUAUAUAUAUCAUGAAAUUAGAUUAAUUUAUAAUUAAUUUGAUCAAGAGAUUAACGUAAUCUUGUAAGGCUAUAACAUAUUCGAUCCUAUAAUGCAGUUCAUUGCAUUUAUAACUAGUACUGUCUAUGCAGCUUGUAAUCACAAGGAAGUAAAAGCUAGCGUCAGAGAUAGAUAGCGAAUUAGGGCUCUCUUGCAUACCCAAGAUGAAUUACCUACCCUACCUGGUCAUUGUUUGCCCAUAAUGCAACUCGAUCGAACACGGAACCAAAUUUGCCAACCAUCAAAUUUGGUGGUCANNNNN